RNAcentral lists this ribosomal RNA (593 nucleotides) under Ulva rigida. RNAcentral's name for it is "eukaryotic LSU rRNA". The stretch from base 183 to 337 matches the Rfam family "5.8S ribosomal RNA". The record is from RNAcentral. Lineage: Eukaryota; Viridiplantae; Chlorophyta; Ulvophyceae; Ulvales; Ulvaceae.
GGUGAACCUGCGGAGGGAUCAUUGAAACCGAUCAAUCCACUCACAGAGCACCAGCGGGGUUCGCCCCGCCGUAGUUUUGGAUCCGCCGGUCCUCGCGGGCCGGUUGGAGCCUCCAACCCAGCAAACCCUCUGCCCUGAAGCAGCUUCGCACGGGGACACCCCCUGCGACGUUAACCAGAGACAACUCUCAACAACGGAUAUCUAGGCUCUCGCAACGAUGAAGAACGCAGCGAAAUGCGAUACGUAGUGUGAAUUGCAGAAUUCCGUGAGUCAUCGAAUCUUUGAACGCACAUUGCCGGUCGACUCUUCGGAGGAGACCACAUCUGCCUCAGCGUCGGAAUACCCCCUCACCCGUGCGGACAUGCGUGUCCGCACAGUGGAACUGGCCCCCCCGGGCGCGACCUCGUCGCCCGGGCCGGCUGAAAUGCAGAGGCUCGCGCGCGGCCCACUCGUGGCCCCGACUAGGUAGGUAGCUCGCUACUGCUAGGCGGCGGCUCGGCGCUCGCGUGCUGUGGGCCCGAAAGGAUAACCCCUCAUUCAUUCGACCUGAGUUCAGGUGAGGCUACCCGCUGAACUUAAGCAUAUCAAUAAGC